AACGAACGCUGGCGGCAUGCCUAACACAUGCAAGUCGAACGAGACCUUCGGGUUUAGUGGCGCACGGGUGCGUAACGCGUGGGAACCUGCCCUUAGGUUCGGAAUAACUCCCCGAAAGGGGUGCUAAUACCGGAUAAUGUCUUCGGACCAAAGAUUUAUCGCCCUUGGAUGGGCCCGCGUUGGAUUAGCUAGUUGGUAGGGUAAAAGCCUACCACGGCGACGAUCCAUAGCUGGUCUGAGAGGCUGAUCAGCCACACUGGGACUGAGACACGGCCCAGACUCCUACGGGAGGCAGCAGUGGGGAAUAUUGGACAAUGGGCGAAAGCAUGAUCCAGCAAUGCCGCGUGAGUGAUGAAGGCCUUAGGGUUGUAAAGCUCUUUUACCCGGGAUGAUAAUGACAGUACCGGGAGAAUAAGCUCCGGCUAACUCCGUG
Molecule: ribosomal RNA, 433 nt
Filed under: uncultured bacterium
Lineage: Bacteria
Description: partial 16S ribosomal RNA
Rfam family: Bacterial small subunit ribosomal RNA
Source: RNAcentral